GUUCUGUUUUCCCCCCUUCCCCGUCCGCCCUCUUCAGACGGUCUCGGGCCCCUCCUCUUGCCGCGUGCCCCGUCCGCGGGUCUCGCGGCUAGAGGUCGGGGGUUUGGUGCCCCCGAGACGGGAAGGGCGGGUCUGGGUGGGGGGGUCUUGGGACGGCCGCCCCCUGGGUUUGCCGGACGGGCCAGUGGGAAGAGGAGAUGCCUGGCUCCGACUUCUCCCGUUCUCCGGUGUGGUGCUGGGUUCGGGUCCUGGUCGUGGGGGACCGCCCGCCCGCCCUCGGUGAGGUGUGCUCCGCGUGGAGGCCGCGUCUCCCCGGUCUUUCGUGCUCCCCUGGCCUUCUGGGGGAGGAAAGCGAUCCCGCCCGCCGCGUCGCUCCGUGUCUGGUGGCGUGGGGGGGGAAAGCCUCGUACGGCCUGCGGGCCGCGACGAGCUCGGCCGUGGGGUCGAGGGCAGUAAGUAGUCCGGUCAUCGGGGGAGGGGGGAGGAUAGAGCGGAGUGCUCUUUUCCCCCUCUGUGUGCGUGCGUGGGGUGACCGCGGUUCGCGCUGUCGGUCGCGGCCGCCUCGCUCCUCGCUGCACGUGGAGUGCGGGCGAGGACUCUCUGUUUCGAAACCUCCCCCUGAUCCCCGGUGGGCCGUCGCGCUGCUUGCUCUCUCUGCCCUCGCUGUCUCGCCGCGUCUGCUUCCGACGGGCUUCCCUGUGCCGUCGCUGGGGGAUGCCCUCCCGGGGGCUCCCUCUCGUCGGCCUUCCCUGCGCCGAGGGCCGGCGCCGCGACGAGGCUGGGUCGUCGCUCCUCCCCCUCCGGUCGGGUUGCCGGUGGCCGGGUUGCCCGCGUGCCCCCCUCCGCGGGGUCGCCGCCGUUGGGUUUGUCGGUGGGUGCCGUCCCCCGCGUCGGCCCGUCCCGCUUGCCGCCCCGGGGAAACGGUCGUUCCUCCGAGCCCCCCCACUGCCAAAUCGUGUCGUGUCUCGUUUUUUACCUUCCGUUUACGCGUUGUGGGGGUUGCUGUGGGGUGUUGGGGGGGGCCACGCGCCUCCCCCCCCUCCCUCCCUCCCUCCCGCGUAUCCCAAAAAAAACCAAAAUUCGGACAACUCUUAGCGGUGGAUCACUCGGCUCGUGCGUCGAUGAAGAACGCAGCUAGCUGCGAGAAUUAA
RNAcentral lists this long non-coding RNA (1151 nucleotides) under Monodelphis domestica (gray short-tailed opossum). Its description in RNAcentral is "lncRNA (ENSMODG00000041478.1)". The stretch from base 1087 to 1151 matches the Rfam family "5.8S ribosomal RNA", at positions 1 to 65 of the family's 154-position model. The record is from RNAcentral. Lineage: Eukaryota; Metazoa; Chordata; Mammalia; Didelphimorphia; Didelphidae.